This 77-nucleotide transfer RNA is filed under the name Niastella yeongjuensis. RNAcentral describes it as "tRNA-Lys". It matches the Rfam family "tRNA". From Rfam's summary of the family: Transfer RNA (tRNA) molecules are approximately 80 nucleotides in length. Lineage: Bacteria; Pseudomonadati; Bacteroidota; Chitinophagia; Chitinophagales; Chitinophagaceae. The record is from RNAcentral.
CGGCCCGUAGCUUAGUUGGCUAAAGUACCCGGCUUUUAACCGGGGGAGCAUGAGUUCGAAUCUCAUCGGGUCGACAA